AAUGAUGGAAUGACUCUCGGCAACGGAUAUCUCGGCUCUCGCAUCGAUGAAGAACGUAGCGAAAUGCGAUACGUGGUGUGAAUUGCAGAAUCCCGUGAACCAUCGAGUUUUUGAACGCAAGUUGCGCCCGAGGCCAUUUGGCCGAGGGCACGCCUGCCUGGGCGUCAGCU
Molecule: ribosomal RNA, 170 nt
Filed under: Juncus cooperi
Lineage: Eukaryota; Viridiplantae; Streptophyta; Magnoliopsida; Poales; Juncaceae
Description: 5.8S ribosomal RNA
Rfam family: 5.8S ribosomal RNA
About the family: 5.8S ribosomal RNA (5.8S rRNA) is a component of the large subunit of the eukaryotic ribosome. It is transcribed by RNA polymerase I as part of the 45S precursor that also contains 18S and 28S rRNA.
Source: RNAcentral